Zophobas morio is the source of this 718-nucleotide long non-coding RNA. RefSeq lists it as uncharacterized. The record is from RefSeq and is a predicted model, not a curated record. The transcript is spliced from 4 exons. Lineage: Eukaryota; Metazoa; Arthropoda; Insecta; Coleoptera; Tenebrionidae.
CUGCCGCCCCACCUGCCCUCCCCACGUGUCGCCGUCCCCGGCCGCUUUCCAAUUACCGCUUCUUGUUCGUUUGCGGCGUGCCCUCGAUCCACGUCGGCGGCGAACGAGCACACACUCGACAUCAAAAACGUCUUGUGUGCGGGAUGUGAGGAGCCGGCCGCCGCCGCCCCCCGAAUGUGGAGUGAUGUCGGGCCGGAGUUUGCGUCGCCGUGGCAACGGUUUCCCUCCAGGUUCUUGGAAAAUGGAUGAAAAUUCUGAAAGAUAGAUUUUGACGAAUUGAAUCGAAAAGUGUAACGUAUCAGUGGUCUCGGACCAAGAUAAUGGGUACAAAUGAAAUUUUUUAACCAUCAAUAAUGGUAUUUUUUCACAAGAACACGUUCAGCAGGACUCUACAAAAACUGACACGAGGUUUCUCCGAAGUUUAACCACACAUCACUGAAGUGAGCUGCCGAAAUGGGCCUAGUCCACGAUGUUGUAGAAAAAUUCUUCCCGGAAUGUUGGUCUUCUGUCCCUUUCGAAAAUACGACUGAAUUAUAAAUGCUUCCUGUGAGUGAAUAUGCAAAGCCGAGGAAAAAAACAAGCAAUAAAACAACACGUAAAAUUAGACAGUUGUUAGAUCACCGCGAAAUUGAGUCUAAUAUAUCGACGUGAAACUUAAAACAAAGCUAAAAGACAGUUUAUAAGGAUUUUCAUCUUAAUUUAAUUUAAUUUCCGCACG